Molecule: non-coding RNA, 3397 nt
Organism: Aegilops tauschii subsp. strangulata
Lineage: Eukaryota; Viridiplantae; Streptophyta; Magnoliopsida; Poales; Poaceae
Source: RefSeq, a predicted model, not a curated record
GCAGCAGCACAACCAGAGAAAAAGGAGAAGCGACAGGGCGGGCAGCAGCGUCUCCUCCCCCCGCCCUCAUCCCUAUUGCCGCCGCCGGGUCCUCUCCUCUCCCUAUCGGUGCGAGUGGGCGGGUCGCGGCUUGCGGAGAGCGAGGAGAUGAAGGAGACAGAUGCGUGAGGAGGAGGAGGCCACGGCCAUCGGCUCCUCUCCUCUCCUCGUCGGCGCCCUCAUCCCUAUUGCCGCCGCCGGGUCCUCUCCUCUCCCUAUCGGUGCGAGUGGGCGGGUCGCGGCUUGCGGAGAGCGAGGAGAGGGCGGAGAUAGAUGCGUGAGGAGGAGGAGGCCACGGCCGUCGGCUCCUCUCCUCUCCCCGUCGGCGCCAGCGCGCUGGUCGCGGGGAGUGAGGAGAGCGAGGAGAGGGAGGGGGAAGAUGCGUGAGGAGGAGGACCAGGCGGUGGCGCGGCAGCCAGAUCCGAGGCGCGUGGGCGCGGAGGCAGCCGCGGUGGGCUCCGGCCUCUUCUUCACGCACGGCGGCAGGAGCAGCUCCACCUCUCCACUCCCCCACGCGUGAGCCCUCCACAACCCCACCCACCACAUCGAGGCGGCAUCCAGAGGCCGUCGGCGGUGGCCCAGGUUCUGAUAGAUGAGUGAUGACUAAUGGUUGAUGCAAAGGAGGAGGCGUACUGAUGGAAGUUGGCAGCAAAAUCAGGUGUACUACAACGCAGUAAACUGGUCGUGUACAUUUCUCAAUUUUCCAUAGGACCUCUCCGUCCUCGAGCCCUUCUUCUCCUCUCUCCGCGCCGUCUCGCCUCCCCUGCUCUUGCACCGCCACCUUCCCUGCCCGGCGCUCGAGGCGCCAUGAUUUUGGAUCGGGCGGAUAUCUUCACCAGGAGAGUAGGAGCACUUGCUGUUAAUAUGAACGAUCUCUCACUAAGUUUUUGUUAUGGCGUUGUGUGCCGAUUCAUAAUUUAAACACGCAAAAUGUCUGGUUUGCAUAUUUGUGCCUAGCCCUGUUACCAGCAGUGUAUUUUUUGCCGUAAGAAUGACAACAAUGCUUUAUUUCUUUGACUUUUUGACCGUGUCUAAUUUCUGGUAAAAGAGAGGAAUUUCAGAGAGAUAGACAACCUGAAGAGCUUUGAAUGGUUGUUCGAGUGUGCCGCCAGCCUCCUCGCCGUUGCUGUUGCGUAGCUGGCACCGGUGUGUGGCUACUGCCGAGAUAAGCGCAGUUUACUCCAGGUUUGGUGAUGGUGUUGAACAACACCUUAACUGGGCCAAGGAAUUUAGUAGCAUUGUGGGAUCAUAAACCAGUUUUUCUGUUCUCUGUGCUCACAUAGUAAGAACAUGCUUGCAAGUUCUUUUCCUUAGGUGUAAUUUCUUUUGCUGAGAUAGAUUAAGCCUGGGUCGAGGUGGCUGCUGUGUGCCGGUUGCCAGUACUUGUUUGUUGUAAUGUCUUACCCAGUGAGAUUUCUUUUAUUCUUGCCUAUUUUCAGAGGUUCUGCUUGAAGAUUCUCUAAUCACUUUCUUUGGAACUUUUUGCUGAGAUAUGCUUCCAGGUUACUUCAAUGUUACCAGACUUAAAAUGUACUAUCUAGCAUACUAGCACGUGUGUAUAUGAUGCCUCCUUUUAUCCUUGAAUGUAAGACACAUGGUGUUUUGUUCCAUUGUUAUGCUUAACGGAAGUGAUGUUCUAUUAUCAUAUUCAAAACUAUAGCUCUUUGUUUGCAGUAUCUCGGAGGGAGCAAUAUUUUGAUACUUGCUUUAUAGGAAUUCUCUUUCUUUGCCUAGAAUUUGUGAUUUAUGGCUGAUGUCAAUUCCACCUUUGUAGGUGUUUCUCAAUUAUUACUAAUGUUGAAACUGCAGAGGAGCAGGAGAUGAGGAGGGCCCCACUUGGUGUACAAUGGUGAAUGAUGCGGCAGUUAGACCGGGAGAUGAGGAGCGCGGCACUGGGUGUACGAAGGUUUAGUAGGAAGAAUGUUAAUCACAGUGGGUGAAAAGAAAAUGCGAGCUCGGCUGAUUGCAUACUAUUUGGUUGAGUUGUUUUGUCCUAAAGAUACAAUCAAGCUGAAGAUUUCUUUUGUAUGGAAAUUCACCAUGGGAAUCGAAAUAAUGGUACUCUGCACAGCCUUUACUUUCUUGCAUCGAUUCUUCAUUCUACAAGUCACACCUUUUCUAUUUGGUAAAAGAAGAGUGAGCUCAUGCUUGAACUUCCACUAUAUAUGUUAACACUUGAAUACUGUAUCAAUCCAGUAAUCAUCUGAUCCUUCAUUGUUUUCCCUUGCAUUGCCUCCUUUAACUCUUCUGGACCUUUGAAAAGAAUGAUUUUUCGAUUAUAUAAUGUAUUAUGUUUUGUUUCGUUGUCGAGAGGUAGAUGGUAAAGUAGGCUGAUAUUUUCAUUUUGUUCAUAUGCAGAUAUUUGAUAUAAGUGAAUAUAUACCCUUUGGUAGGUGAAUGUGCUCUCCGUUAAUAUCACUGAUAUAUUUGAGCUUCAGAGAAGGAUAUCUAUGCCAUUUUGUUUUUGUUUUUUGAACAAAAGAGUGUUGUAUGUGUAUCGUUAAAGGGAUGAAGCAGCAAAGUUACCUACGCAAUUUAGCAGGAUGUGGCUGAUACAUAUGGUUUACUUAGGUUUGGUGUUACUGCUAUCUCUUUCGUUGUAAAACUGCAGAGCAGCAGAGUUUAUAGAUUUAUCGACCAUGCUUUUAGUGCCAGUAGUUUUGUAUGUAAGAUGUAGCUGUUGUGCAGCUCCAUGUGUCUGUGUGAUCUGAUGUAUAGAUAUAACAUAACAUUCUAAAAUUUAUAGUUAUUCUCUAUAUAUGAGAAAGCAUGAAAGAACUGUGUAUUAGGGGUAAAUAAUCUUUUCUGCUGUUUCAUAAAACAGUUAGGCGGCUACCCUGUCAUAUAUUUUGAUUCUCCUUUGACGAAAUUCCUAUCCUUGAAUGCCAUUUUCUCCAUGGUUUUUAUGUUUUAUGUUGUUCACUACAUGAUACUGAAUUAACAGUUACACGAAAGUUUAGCGAACACUUUUCUAAGAGAAGCCUCUUCCCGCACAUGGAUGCUGAUCAUGAUGAGCUACCAAUCAGUACAGGAGAUGGGACCACCAGUGUCAUGACCCUCUUUAUCAAGGGCGUCGACAACAUGGCUACACUCACAAUGAACUAGAGCAGCUUCUUCCAUAAGGCAAACAUGAAGAAAGGGUGUACAUAUGCUUUCACCUUCAAGUGCACGUCCAAGGGCCUUUGCAUGAUUGUCUAUCCAAUCUAAGCAGGUCACAGUAGUCCUUUGCUACGUAACUUGGUAUUACUAUAAGUACCUAUUGAGACUUUUAUAUCUGGCAUCAUUUUGGAUCUUAUGUAAAAAAAUUAUGAUAAUCCUGUCCGUAUGACUAUUAUCAAUCCAUAUUAAUUUUUAUAUA